CUCCAUAGCCUAAGCAAGAAAAUCAAACUCCACAUCACGUCGGAAACUUCGAUCAAUUCAUCAACUCAACAUCCGAUCCGGUCAUCAUUGCUUUAGUACCAACAAUCUACGAGCACCAUCCAAAACGAGUACUAAAUGGCGAGGAUGCAUGAACGGGGAUGGCUUCUGGAUGGCGGCGAUGCUUUCACGGUUAGAACGAAAAACCUAAAAUAGCUUGGACGUGAGAGAAAGGAGUGAAAUAAGGAAUAAAAUGAAAUUUUGUCACAAUAAUAGACGGAAUAGAAAAGAUAGAGUGAGGUGUACCUGAUCGAUCGGGUAUGGGACCGGCGAAUCUCACCCCUAAAGUCGUAGUGGAAAUAUACAUAGCCGCCGUCCUCUUUAUUCCGAACGAAAAACCUAAAAUCGCUUGGACGUGAGAGAGAGAAGUGAAAUGGGGAAUAAAAUGAAAUUUUGUCACAAUAAUCGAUGAAAUGGAAAAGAUAGAGCGAGGUGUACUUGAUCGAUCGGGUACGAAAUCGGAGAAUCUCACCCCUAAAAUCGUAGUAGAAAUGUACACCGCCGCCCUUUCUAUUCCGUGUUCCCUCUUUCAGGUCUAUGAAGGUUCGUGGUUGACUUUAUAUAGAUUUUUCAAAAUAAAUGAAGGAUUUAGAUUAAUAUCAUAUAAGAUAUAAGGUUAUAUCUCAUUAUUAAUAUUCCAGCUGAAGUUAAGUUUAUAUAAAUCAAAAAGUAUAUCAUGCUCAAAUAAUGAAGAUAUUAUCUGGCAUUAGUCCUGGAUGACCAGAGAUUGCAAACUUG
Molecule: long non-coding RNA, 795 nt
Filed under: Zostera marina
Lineage: Eukaryota; Viridiplantae; Streptophyta; Magnoliopsida; Alismatales; Zosteraceae
Description: long non-coding RNA (ZMAR_LNC004063)
Source: RNAcentral